RNAcentral lists this ribosomal RNA (467 nucleotides) under uncultured bacterium. RNAcentral describes it as "partial 16S ribosomal RNA". It matches the Rfam family "Bacterial small subunit ribosomal RNA", at positions 28 to 507 of the family's 1533-position model. The record is from RNAcentral.
GACGAACGCUGGCGGCGUGCUUAACACAUGCAAGUCGAACGGAAAGGCUCCAGCUUGCUGGAGUACUCGAGUGGCGAACGGGUGAGUAACACGUGGGUAAUCUGCCCUGCACUCUGGGAUAAGCCUGGGAAACUGGGUCUAAUACUGGAUAUGACCUUUCUCCUUAUGGGGUUUGGUGGAAAGUUUUUCGGUGUAGGAUGAGCCCGCGGCCUAUCAGCUUGUUGGUGGGGUGAUGGCCUACCAAGGCGACGACGGGUAGCCGGCCUGAGAGGGUGAUCGGCCACAUUGGGACUGAGAUACGGCCCAGACUCCUACGGGAGGCAGCAGUGGGGAAUAUUGCACAAUGGGCGGAAGCCUGAUGCAGCGACGCCGCGUGAGGGAUGACGGCCUUCGGGUUGUAAUCCUCUUUCAGCAGGGACGAAGCGUAAGUGACGGUACCUGCAGAAGAAGCACCGGCUAACUAUGUG